RNAcentral lists this long non-coding RNA (1015 nucleotides) under Malus domestica (apple). Its description in RNAcentral is "long non-coding RNA (MDOM_LNC011329)". The record is from RNAcentral. Lineage: Eukaryota; Viridiplantae; Streptophyta; Magnoliopsida; Rosales; Rosaceae.
CCGGUGGACUACUUGUCACCAUUCUUUACCGGUUUUGUGGCGGUGGUUGUGGCUGCUUUGUUGAUGGUUUUGCUUUAUCUUCAAGUGCUCUGGACUCUGGCUCCUGUGGUGGUUGUGCUGGAAUCCACUGGGGGUUUCAAUUCCUUGAUUCGAAGCGCGAGGCCGGUCAAGGGAGCGGGGACGAUCGCGGUAUCUUUGAUGCUGGUUUUUGGAUGUCUGUCUGGGGUUUUACGGGUGUGUAGCUGGGUUUUGGAAAUGGGGAUUAAUGAGGCUACUAGGUGGAAGAAUUGGGGACUUGCAGUGCUAUUAGGAGUGACUACUGUUUUCCUAAUGUUACUUAUCCUCCACAAUGCUGCGACAAAUACGGCGUUGUACCUGCAUUGUAAGGCUGCACAUGGUGAAGAGUUUGCUGAUAGCUGUGAUCAUUUUCCCUUGCUCGUGGAUGAUGGAAAUUGCUGAUGCUGUUUCUGUAAGGCUUACUUGAACCAAAUGCUUAUGCUACUUGUGUAUGUUAUUGUAGUUGUAUUUGUUUAGUUGCAAGUCAAGCAGCUUCAGUAAUCUAGUAGAAUUAGUAAAACUCUUUACCGAAUUGCUCAUGUUGUUUCCGUAAGGCCGAAUUGCUACUUGUAUGUUAAUAGUAUGCUAUACAUGUUUAGUUACAAGUAAAACAGCUCUGGUAAUCGAGUUCCAGUAUCUGUUUAACCGUUAGAUUGUCUCUUUCCUGUUUCCUCUUUCUUUUCUCUGACUUGUUCUCGUGGCCAAACAAGUUUAGUUUUCCUUCCAGUAUACCUGUAACCAUCGACUCCCAUCCAAGUUCUAAUAGAAAAGGAAUAUAAUAAUACUAAAUAACCUAAUAAGUAAUAAGCUUCAUGAUUCAUGAACGAGCAAAAGAGACUAGGCACUGCAAGCACUGAUGGAUCAAUGCACUUACAAGGGUAGAUCAAAUCUCCACCCUUGAUCCGUCCACGUUGAGACCCCAACUUGAUAAAGUCAGCCUCAUAAGAGCGUCUCCAGU